AUUGAACGCUGGCGGUAUGCUUAACACAUGCAAGUCGAACGGUAGCAGGCCUUCGGGCGCUGACGAGUGGCGGACGGGUGAGUAACGCGUAGGAAUCUGCCUAGUAGUGGGGGACAACUUAGGGAAACUUAAGCUAAUACCGCAUACGCCCUACGGGGGAAAGAAGGGGAUCGCAAGACCUUUUGCUAAUAGAUGAGCCUGCGUAGGAUUAGCUAGUUGGUGGGGUAAAAGCUCACCAAGGCGACGAUCCUUAACUGGUUUGAGAGAAUGAUCAGUCACACUGGAACUGAGACACGGUCCAGGCUCCUACGGGAGGCAGCAGUGGGGAAUAUUGGACAAUGGGCGAAAGCCUGAUCCAGCAAUACCGCGUGUGUGAAGAAGGCCUUAGGGUUGUAAAGCACUUUCAAUUGGAAGGAAAACCUCGAAGCUAAUAUCUUCGAGUUUGACAUUACCUUUAGAAGAAGCACCGGCAAACUCCGUGCCAGCCGCCGCCGUAA
Molecule: ribosomal RNA, 497 nt
Filed under: uncultured bacterium
Lineage: Bacteria
Description: partial 16S ribosomal RNA
Rfam family: Bacterial small subunit ribosomal RNA
Source: RNAcentral